UCCCCAGUAGCUCAUCGAUGGUAGAGCGCCCGGCUGUUAACCGGAGGGUGGCGGGUUCGAGCCCUGCCUGGGGAGCCA
This 78-nucleotide transfer RNA is filed under the name Pandoraea pnomenusa. RNAcentral's name for it is "tRNA-Asn". It matches the Rfam family "tRNA". Rfam says of the family: Transfer RNA (tRNA) molecules are approximately 80 nucleotides in length. Their secondary structure includes four short double-helical elements and three loops (D, anti-codon, and T loops). Lineage: Bacteria; Pseudomonadati; Pseudomonadota; Betaproteobacteria; Burkholderiales; Burkholderiaceae. RNAcentral also lists the same sequence under 3 other names. The record is from RNAcentral.